UGUCCCACCUACGUGCUCUGUGUUUGCUGCUAUGUGUGGAGGUAGUCGCGUGCUGGCAGGAGAAAAGAGAGACUGAAGCUUUUGAGCUGGAAAAAAGUAUUAGAUAUAAGUUGCAACCAACUGUGUUGCACAUAAGUUCACUGGUUAUCAGCUAACUUUCAUGUUAGAAGUAGCCGCAGUGAGUAAACAGGCAAAUGCUGCAUUUUUCUGGUGACUUUAGAAAGUACCACGUGGAGGUAAACUGUUAGCCUUUGUUAGCUCUGGUUGCUAUCAACUGCCUGGAAGUUCAUCUCAAUCUGCUUCCAGAAGCAAGAGCCCUGCAUUUUCCGACCGAGAGACACUAUGCCAUUGUCUUCGGCCGUGAUGCGCUGAGAUCGGUGAGCACAUGUUGUAUGUCUCAGUUAGUUCAUGUCUGUUUCACAUUUUAUCGUUGAGAAACUGAAUUAAUCUCAAUUGUUUGAUUAAUACUUGCCGCAUAUGCGACAUAUAUGCAUAUGCACUGACUUUACUUGGUUUAAUGCCUAGUUUAUGUAAGAGAGAUGUUUUAUUUUUGCAAAAUUGAGUAUUUUUAUUGCAAAUUUAUGUUGAAUGUGAUUUAAACAAAAUCCUAAGUUGUGAAUUAUAGCUAGAACAGCAUAAUUAAUAUUUGAAUUGCUCUUCUGACCCUGUCUGUUGACAGGUCAGGUUUUUUUUUGUAUGCUGAAUUGUUCCUGAGGUGGAUUCCUCCAGUGAAAUAGGAUUCCUCCAGUGAAAUAGAUGGCGAGCCUUCCCACCUGGACUUAGAGAGACUGAGAUUCGCUUCUUUUCCACUUGAUGAUCUGCUGCACCUUGCGGUGUGGUAGGACUGUAUCACUCACACUUUCACGCACAGCUGGUUAUACAUAAGACCACUGACUGACAUUCUUUCAUCCCUAUUUUCUUUCACACCCUGGGAAUUUUUUGGACUUUACCCCUUGGACAUUUUUUAUUUGGGACUUUAAAUAAUGAGCUGUUGUGUAGAGCAUUCUCCACAUGUGAAAAGAGUGUGAAAUUUUCAUUUGAAUGUACAUUGGAUUUGUGUAAUCUGUUUCUAUAAGAGUUAAGGAGUCAGGUUACUAGGGUGCACCCGAGCAUUGAAACCCAAACAUUGAAAACCAAAAAUAACACUUGGCCAAGUCAUUGCUUUAGUAGUUUGUGUUUUACUUUUCUUUUAAUUUUUGUAAGUUUCCUUUCUACCAUUGUAAAGUGUCUUUAACCUGUGCUUGUCAACCUUAUGGUUUAUGUCACUAAAGUUGGCUGGUUCUUUUGAGUUACAUUCUUGUCUCUGUGUCUCAUUUGAACACACCCCUGUGCUCCUAUAGUCGAGUCUAUUGGCCCAUUGAUAUAUUCUUUUCAACAAUUCCCCUUACUGUGUUACAUACACAUCUACUAUAGCCACAAUAAAAACAAGUAAUAAUUGCACUGAAAAUUAUAUCUAGUAUAUUAAAAUGGGUUUCAAUGGGGCAAAUAACAAAAACCUGCACUUUUCACUUGUUUCUACUGCACUGCAAACUUCUUGAAGUUUAAAAAGAGCACAAGAAACAAAAUGAAUAUAUACAAAAUGCUUACUAUUGGUGGAGCUCUCAGAAUGCUUUUUGUUACACAUGAAACAGUUGCCCAUUUUUAAUGUCCUCUCAUUUAGCAACACCUAUGCAGUACCUCAAGAGGGCACUGCUGAG
Molecule: long non-coding RNA, 1697 nt
Organism: Astatotilapia calliptera (eastern happy)
Lineage: Eukaryota; Metazoa; Chordata; Actinopteri; Cichliformes; Cichlidae
Source: Ensembl